This 468-nucleotide ribosomal RNA is filed under the name uncultured bacterium. RNAcentral's name for it is "partial 16S ribosomal RNA". It matches the Rfam family "Bacterial small subunit ribosomal RNA", at positions 28 to 507 of the family's 1533-position model. The record is from RNAcentral.
GACGAACGCUGGCGGCGUGCUUAACACAUGCAAGUCGAACGGAAAGGCCCUGCUUUUGUGUGGUGCUCGAGUGGCGAACGGGUGAGUAACACGUGAGUAACCUGCCCUUGACUUUGGGAUAACUUCAGGAAACUGGGGCUAAUACCGGAUAGGAGCUCCUGCUGCAUGGUGGGGGUUGGAAAGUUUCGGCGGUUGGGGAUGGACUCGCGGCUUAUCAGCUUGUUGGUGGGGGAGUGGCUUACCAAGGCUUUGACGGGUAGCCGGCCUGAGAGGGUGACCGGCCACAUUGGGACUGAGAGACGGCGCAGACUCGUACGGGAGGCAGCAGUGGGGAAUAUUGCCCAAUGGGCGGAAGCCUGAUGCAGCAACGUCGCGUGCGGGAUGAAGGCCUUCGGGUUGUAAACCGCUUUAGCCUGUGACGAAGCGUGAGUGACGGUAAUGGGUAAAGAAGCACCGGCUAACUACGUG